RNAcentral lists this ribosomal RNA (493 nucleotides) under uncultured bacterium. Its description in RNAcentral is "bacterial SSU rRNA". It matches the Rfam family "Bacterial small subunit ribosomal RNA", at positions 9 to 518 of the family's 1533-position model. The record is from RNAcentral.
AGAGUUGAUCUGGCUCAGGAGUGAACGCUGGCGGCACGCCUAACACAUGCAAGUCGAACGGAGUUAAGAGAGCUUGCUUUUAAACUUAGUGGCGGACGGGUGAGUAACACGUGAGCAACCUGCCUUCAGAGAGGGAUAGCUUCUGGAAACGGAUGGUAAUACCUCAUAACAUACAGAAUCGGCAUCGUUUCUGUAUCAAAGAUUUAUCGCUGAAAGAUGGGCUCGCGUCUGAUUAGCUUGUUGGUGAGGUAACGGCCCACCAAGGCAACGAUCAGUAGCCGGACUGAGAGGUUGAACGGCCACAUUGGGACUGAGACACGGCCCAGACUCCUACGGGAGGCAGCAGUGGGGAAUAUUGCACAAUGGGCGCAAGCCUGAAUGCAGCGAUGCCGCGUGAGGGAAGAAGGUUUUCGGAUUGUAAACCUCUGUCAUCGGGGACGAAAAUGACGGUACCCGAGAAGGAAGCUCCGGCUAACUACGUGCCAGCAGCAGC